GAACGCUGGCGGCAGGCCUAACACAUGCAAGUCGAACGAACUCUUCGGAGUUAGUGGCGGACGGGUGAGUAACACGUGGGAACGUGCCUUUUGGUUCGGAAUAACUCAGGGAAACUUGUGCUAAUACCGAAUGUGCCCUUCGGGGGAAAGAUUUAUCGCCAUUAGAGCGGCCCGCGUCUGAUUAGCUAGUUGGUGAGGUAACGGCUCACCAAGGCGACGAUCAGUAGCUGGUCUGAGAGGAUGACCAGCCACACUGGGACUGAGACACGGCCCAGACUCCUACGGGAGGCAGCAGUGGGGAAUCUUGCGCAAUGGGCGAAAGCCUGACGCAGCCAUGCCGCGUGAAUGAUGAAGGUCUUAGGAUUGUAAAAUUCUUUCACCGGGGACGAUAAUGACGGUACCCGGAGAAGAAGCCCCGGCUAACUUCGUG
Molecule: ribosomal RNA, 430 nt
Filed under: uncultured bacterium
Lineage: Bacteria
Description: partial 16S ribosomal RNA
Rfam family: Bacterial small subunit ribosomal RNA
Source: RNAcentral